Molecule: ribosomal RNA, 364 nt
Filed under: uncultured bacterium
Lineage: Bacteria
Description: bacterial SSU rRNA
Rfam family: Bacterial small subunit ribosomal RNA
Source: RNAcentral
GAGUUUGAUUGUGGCUCAGGAUGAACGCUGGCGGCGUGCUUAACACAUGCAAGUCGAACGAUUAAGACGGCUUCGGCCGUGUAUAGAGUGGCGAACGGGUGAGUAACACGUGACCAACCUGCCCCGCGCUCCGGGACAACCGCUGGAAACGGCGGCUAAUACCGGAUGCUCCGGGGAGGCCCCAUGGCCUCCCCGGGAAAGCCUUAACGGCGCGGGAUGGGGUCGCGGCCCAUUAGGUAGACGGCGGGGUAACGGCCCACCGUGCCCGCGAUGGGUAGCCGGCCUGAGAGGGUGGACGGCCACAUUGGGACUGAGACACGGCCCAGACUCCUACGGGAGGCAGCAGUAGGGAAUUUUCCGGCAA